RNAcentral lists this long non-coding RNA (1134 nucleotides) under Marmota monax (woodchuck). Lineage: Eukaryota; Metazoa; Chordata; Mammalia; Rodentia; Sciuridae. The record is from RNAcentral.
CGAUGAGCCAAGAUAUGUUUUUUCUGGUAGCUCACUCCUUCUCCUUGGGUUCACUUUUUCUAAUUGAGUUGAUUUACUGAAUAUCUGUGGAUUUUUUAAAUUUUUCAAAUAUCUUUAUUAGUUCCUACUGUUAAAUGAUGUUUCAACUGAAAAAUUAAAAUCUAGUUUGACAAUUGUUUCCCCUUAGCAGUUUGAAGAUUCUACUACCUCUGGAAUUUAUUGUAGAUGAAAAAUAUGUUGUAAGUUUAAUGCUUUUUAUUUUGAGGAUAAUUUGCUUUUUCAUUCCAGUAGAUUUAAAAUUUUGCUCUCUUUAUCCUUGAUAUUCGGAAGUUUCAAUACAAUAUGACUAAUUUGGGACUCAUUUUUAUUCAUUCUGUUUAGAAUUUGCAGUGAUUUUUAUUUAAUUGCUUCCUGAAUAUCUCUAAUUGCCAUAAAUCUGGAAAUUCACUUUUGAACUCAAAUUAGAGGUAUGUUGUAGCCUUCUCUGAGUCUCACCUUAACUAUUUUUUCAUUGCAUAUUUUUAUCUAUUUGUACUGUUUUAUAAGAUCCAACAAACUAUCUUUCAAGUCAUUAAUUUUCUCUUUGACCAAGUUCAACAUAAUACUGACCUUAUUCAUUUGUUUGUUUGUUUUCAAAAUUUUUUAUUUAUAAGAUUGCAAAAUGGUUCUUUUUUUUCAUUUCCACUUGUUUUUAUUUCACCUGACCCACUAAGGCCCCAGGUCAUACAUGGCUUGUUAAAAGUUUCUAUCUAUCUUAUGAUGAUAUUAGGAUGUUACUAACCCAGUCUCAGAGCUAUGAGUAGCUUCAACCAGCUCUCACUUACAGGGGAGUCUUACUCUAAACUGUAAUUGCUGAACCUUGCUCUUUCCCUCAACUUAAACCUGAUUCCUCAUUCUGUUUUUUAGCCAAAGAGUCCCAUAGUGUUUGUAUAAUUAUUGCUUUGAGUUUCUGCUAUAUAUCUGUUCUCUGAGGACAAUUUUAUUUUUUUUCACCUUAGCUGGGUUUUAAAAUUUUAUCUUAAAAUAUUUGACUUAUCCUGAUAAUCUACUGGAAAAUAAAAAGGUAUCAUUUUGAUUUAAUUUAUUUACCUUAAUUUUCCAUUGGCUUGAUUUUCACAUUUAUUUAGAUUAACU